AUUGAACGCUGGCGGCAGGCCUAACACAUGCAAGUCGAACGGUAACAGGAAGCAGCUUGCUGCUUUGCUGACGAGUGGCGGACGGGUGAGUAAUGUCUGGGAAACUGCCUUAUGUAGGGGGAUAACUACUGGAAACGGUAGCUAAUACCGCAUAACGUCGCAAGACCAAAGUGGGGGACCUUAUGGCCUCUUGCCCUCGUAUUUUCCCAGAUGGGAUUAGCUAGUAGGUGGGGUAACGGCUCACCUAGGCGACGAUCCCUAUCUGGUCUGAGAGGUUGACCAGACACACGGGAACUGAGACACGGUCCAGACUACUACGGGAGGAAGCAGUGGGGAAUAUUGCACAAUGGGCGAAAGCCUGAUGCAGAAAUGCCGCGUGUAUGAAGAAGGACUUAGGGUUGUAAAGUACUUUCAGCGGGGAGGAAGGGAGUAAAGUUAAAACAUAUGCUGAUUGACGGUACCAGAAGAAGAAGCAACGGCUAACUCCGUG
Molecule: ribosomal RNA, 490 nt
Filed under: uncultured bacterium
Lineage: Bacteria
Description: partial 16S ribosomal RNA
Rfam family: Bacterial small subunit ribosomal RNA
Source: RNAcentral